AGCGAACGUUUGCGGCGGGCCUAACACAUGCAAGUCGAACGCACUAGCAAUAGUGAGUGGCGCACGGGUGCGUAACACGUGGGUAAUCAACCCUUCAGCCUGGGAUAACGACUCGAAAGGGUCGCUAAUACCGGAUACGGCGCGAGAGGCUUCGGCUUCUCACGAGAAAGCCACGCAAGGGGCACUGAAGGACGAGCCUGCGGCCCAUCAGCUAGUUGGUGAGGUAAGAGCUCACCAAGGCUAAGACGGGUAGCUGGUCUGAGAGGAUGAUCAGCCACACUGGAACUGAGACACGGUCCAGACCCCUACGGGAGGCAGCAGUGGGGAAUAUUGGACAAUGGGCGAAAGCCUGAUCCAGCAAUGCCGCGUGAGUGAUGAAGGCCUUAGGGUUGUAAAGCUCUUUUACCAGGGAUGAUAAUGACAGUACCUGGAGAAUAAGCUCCGGCUAACUCCGUGCCAGCAGCCGCGGUAAUGUACAGUGUCC
Molecule: ribosomal RNA, 484 nt
Filed under: uncultured bacterium
Lineage: Bacteria
Description: bacterial SSU rRNA
Rfam family: Bacterial small subunit ribosomal RNA
Source: RNAcentral